CUGAGCCUAUAUUGAACCCAUUCAUCAACGUAUACAAGCCCACCAGACAGACAGCCCUGCCCUGUUGUCUAAACCAAGACUGAUGAAGAACCUCCACUCACUGAAAUAACAUUUACUUUAAAGAUGUUUUGUUUUCCCCAUUCACCUAUGAUGUCCUUUACCAUGGUUUCUGUGUGUAAACUCAGAGACAGCCAGGUUGUUACUCUUCCUGAAAGUCAACUAAAUAGAUUUAACAUGGUCAGUUUGCCACUUUAGUUUGGGCUGGUUCCGACCACUAGGUCUCACAAGCCUAGUGAAUUCAAUAGAACAACCUUCAACUGUCAUUUUGUUCCACUUCAUACCUAAUCUAUCCCUAAAUCUACCAGUGCCCUUAGGCAGAAUCCCAGCCUUUGCUGCUUCCAGGUAUAAUAUUCACCCAAAUAUGAUUGUUUUAGCAGGCUUUAUUUUCAGACCCAACAGGCAGACAACAGGCAUGGAUUCAUUCCUACUAGUGUGACAAGAAGCCUGCUUAAUUUUCUGAAAGACAGACCCAUAGCUCUGUUUAAGUUGAAAUGUUAGUACUGAGGGGAGAGCUGGAUUUGACUAAAUAUGGAACAAUAUAUUUGCUUUUAUUAUGUAUUUUGAUGAGAUUUUUCUGGUAGUUUGUUAUAGGUCUCCCUAUGUCACAUACAUCUACAGUGCUGAAAUGACUGAUUAGAUCAGUCAUAGACUCGCCUCACUGGCACAAUGAAAUGACCAAUAUGCAACAUACAGAGACUAAUAAAGCACACACUACUACACGUUAAUUAGAAUUUUCAUUUUCGGUAAAGUAGUUGCUGAAAUUGACAAAUAGAUUCUUGGCAUUGUAUUUUUUGUUUCAAGCUUGAUAAUAUCCUAAAGUCAUCAAGUCUGUUCUUGUUUUUGUUUGGUUGUUUUUUGGACAGUUGCAAUAUUUGCAAGUUGUGGUCUGUGUAGUGGAAUAAUAUGUUGUGUAGUGGGGAGGACAAGCAUCUUAAAAAGUCAUGUGUAAUUUAUUGGAUUACUUUCUAUGAAGUUAUAUAGAGGAAAUUGAAGUUUAAUUAUUUUUAUUAAACAUAUUCUGACUAUCCCUGAA
This is a long non-coding RNA of Oncorhynchus tshawytscha (Chinook salmon), 1093 nucleotides long. NCBI's taxonomy places the organism in Eukaryota, Metazoa, Chordata, Actinopteri, Salmoniformes, Salmonidae. The record is from Ensembl.